CUAUCCAUGCAGUCGAGCGGACUUGCUGGGAGCUUGCUCCCUGAAGUCAGCGGCGGACGGGUGAGUAACACGUGGGCACCUGCCUGUAAGACUGGGAUAACUUCGGGAAACCGGAGCUAAUACCGGAUAAUUCUUUCCCUCACAUGAGGGAAAGCUGAAAGAUGGUUUCGGCUAUCACUUACAGAUGGGCCCGCGGCGCAUAGCUAGUUGGUGAGGUAACGGCUCACCAAGGCAACGAUGCGUAGCCGACCUGAGAGGGUGAUCGGCCACACUGGGACUGAGACACGGCCCAGACUCCUACGGGAGGCAGCAGUAGGGAAUCUUCCGCAAUGGACGAAAGUCUGACGGAGCAACGCCGCGUGAGUGAUGAAGGUUUCGGAUCGUAAAACUCUGUUGUUAGGGAAAACAAGUACCGGAGUAACUGCCGGUACCUUGACGGUACCUAACCAGAAAGCCACGGCUAACUACGUGCCACAGCCGGGUAUACGUAGUGGCAGCGUGUCCGGAUUUUGGCGUAAGCGCGCGCAGGCGGUUCUUAAUCUGAUGUGAAGC
This 552-nucleotide ribosomal RNA is filed under the name Cytobacillus oceanisediminis. Its description in RNAcentral is "bacterial SSU rRNA". It matches the Rfam family "Bacterial small subunit ribosomal RNA", at positions 49 to 600 of the family's 1533-position model. The record is from RNAcentral. Lineage: Bacteria; Bacillati; Bacillota; Bacilli; Caryophanales; Bacillaceae.